ACUGUUGCAGGCAGUUGAACUUCUUUCAGUUUCUAAACCAUACAGUCUUUGGUUCCAUUCUCGUAUGGAUGUGAGGUCUGUGCUCCAGCUUGCUUGUUUUUUUUUCUUUCACCGCUGUGCACACUCAAAAUUAUAUCUGGCUAAAUGAUUUCAGUGGUAACGGGGCAUGCUUCGUCAAUGCAAUGAUGCAAAUGAUGGAGUGUCAUUCCAGAAGUUCUUAAAAGCUGCAAAACACUUACUAGCAGGGUAGAUGGGUAUGCUAACGAGCUAUCUAGCUGAACGCUUUAGCGUUCAUCACAGGUUUGUUUAAUGGUGCAUUCGAGUUAAUUCUACUGAUAUGGCACAUAGGAAACAAGGUAAGUCCAUUUCGCUUCUAACGCUAACAUUAGCUGGUUUUACAAGUUUGUGCUAGCUAGCUAUCCUGCGAGUAAGGCUGCUACUCACCUCGCGCAUCUCACUGUGUCAAACGCAAGUGGCAUCCUGCCCUGUCAAUCCCGCGUGUUUUUGCAUUAUUAUUACUAUUAGCUGCUGUUGUGAUGAUUUUUUUUCCCCCAUUUGUCCAUUAACUACAUUUUUAUUUGAAGCCUAUGGCAUGUACUUGACAUGGACAGCAAAGUAAAAUAAAAGUUAAAAGAUGCUACACAAGAUUAUAUAUAUACUUUUUACAACAGAAGCCGCCCCUGAAGGGAGAAAUCAAUAGGCAAAUAUAUUAGCCAAUCACAACAGUGGCAGUUAAGUAAUGUUGUGAAACUCUAUCAUUCCACUAUUAGCGCCAGGUAUAUUAGACAUAUUUAGACAUUACUAUGCAAAAAAAUAUGUGAAGCACCUUUAAGAAUGUUAGUUAACUUUGUUUCAGUAUUCCAGUCUAACGUUCUUCAGAUGCUGUACCUUACCUACCAGGCCUGUGAAAGAAUCCAGCUCUCCACCCCUUGAGACCUCUGUGAAACAAAAGUAGGCCUAGAGGAGGGCACUAUCACUGGUAAGUAGAGUUUCAUAUUACAAUAUACAAGUUAUUCUAAAAUUAUUCUUAUCUCUGUCAUUCGCAGGAGAAAGAGACGGCGAUAUUGAGGGCGAUGGUCGGGGCCUUGUAAGGAUCUGGAGGUGAGUGGGAGAUAGAGGGAUAACACUAUCCCCAGCCAGGCAGACGAGUGCAGAUUACAAGACGAGUGCAGAGGGAUCUGUCACGCCUUCAGCCAGCAUGCAUAAAUACUGUGGAUUUGUUGAGAACACUCAUGAGUCCAACAAAGAUGAAGAGGUAGAAGAAGACGAUGGAGGAAGAAGGAGAAAUGGGAACUAUAGCUCCAGGAGGUGGGACAGUGGUGGACGAAGCGGGCCAGGUUACAGGAUCCAACCCUGGGGACCUCCAUGGAGGAAGGAGUGUGGCUCAACAAGAAGAGGAGGAAGCAACGUCAUAAACAGAAGCUCUUGUCUCUGGGUCUGGUGCCGCGUGCUGCGGCUCGAGUUCACCUACGAGAGCGAGGGGGGAGGAAGAGAUGAGGCAGAGAAGAGCAGCUGAAGUGAUAAUCUUCCUCAGGACCACACAAGAUCUAUGUGUCUGAUUGUGCGUGUGACAUACCAGGGCUGCUAAUCAACCCAGAUACGGUCACAUAUAGCCUAGGCUGUGUUUCAGUCUUCCUAAGAGCUGGCCAAAAGUGCUGAAGCAUAGUUAAUUUUAUCGCUUUCGGGAUUGGCAGAAAAUAAAUAAUUUAAACAGCACUGUGCAGAGCACACGCACAUUGAAAGUGAAAGCACAGCUCAUUAAUCACUAGCCUAUAACAACUUGAGGACCUUGAGAGAUUUAGGAAUCGAGGUGUAGAGGUGCAUUGAGGUGUUUGGGUUUACUUCAUCAUGCUCAAAUGUAAUGGACAGGCUCAGUCAUCUGGUCUGUCAUAAUCCCUCCAUGACUUGCCUCUGGAGGGCUAGACAGACCGACAGUCAGUCAGUCCAAAGAAUCCCAUUGGUUCCAGGGAUUAAGGUUUCUCUGUUGGUGAAUUACUGUGGAAGGCUAAGAAGGAAGACCUCUGGAAAUGUCCACAGUAGUUCAGUUAAAGGGGCCAGAUGCUCCUGUUCCUUAUAUGCACCUCAGUCUAGAGAAAGACCAGGUGAUUAGACACAGGCCCAUUCAGCAACGGAGUUUAUAAUGGUAGGUGGAGUAAUAGUAUACUUACUCCACUACCAAGCAGGUUCAUCUGGUAGUGGAGGGCCUUCUGACCAGCCUGUACAAUGGAACAUUCCCCCCUGCUGUUUUGGCCCAGCUCCACAGCCUCUAGUCCCUGGUGCAGCAACAGGACACAGCAAGGAUGCCAAAGGAUCUGCAGGAGCUCCAGAACAGCUCUACCAUGUCUACUGGUGAUGCCACUGCAGUUGUGUCCCUGUUUCAGUAUUGGAUCACAGACAUCCCGCACCAUGCAGAGAGAAUGGAAAACAGGCCAACCUACAACAUAACCUUCCUAGUCGAGCCAACCAACAACACAACCUUAGACUUUCCUAGAUGUUCAGGGUUUUUAACAAUACUGCUGACGGAAAACAUGUCUGACUUAAUUAAUUGUGAGCCCAUGAAACGGAGUUAAGUACAUACCGUAAACUCACUCCACAGCUAGCUUUAAAUGUCGCGGAUGGAGCCAUCCAAUCGGUACCUUUUGGGUGGCUCAAACCGUUGGAAUGUUGUCAAGGAGGGAGGCCACAUGUGUUAGCAAAGCAGAGGUCCCGAGUUCGAGCCAGGUACGAGCCGAAUCGGGGAAGUGAUACCAGACAAAAUGAAUUAACCGUUUAAUGGAUUUUCCCCACAGAAAAGUGAGGCGAGCAAGUCUUUUAAAUAAAAAUUAAAAAAUGAAAACAUUAAGUGGAUAAGGAAUAACAUUACUUUACCACAUUGUCCUAUGCACCUGUGUGGGCUCUAGAGUUAUAUUAUUUCAUGUGAAAACGUACACUAUUUUUCUUAAAAAGAAUGCAGAUGUUACAAUGUUGUUAUAACCAUGAGAAAUUAAAAACACUAAAGUAUAA
Oncorhynchus nerka (sockeye salmon) is the source of this 3003-nucleotide long non-coding RNA. RefSeq lists it as uncharacterized. The transcript is spliced from 4 exons. The record is from RefSeq and is a predicted model, not a curated record. NCBI's taxonomy places the organism in Eukaryota, Metazoa, Chordata, Actinopteri, Salmoniformes, Salmonidae.